UGCAAUGAUCUACCUAGAGCUUGAGUUUUCUGUUAAUGUUAUACCAAGGGAGGUGCUUGGAACACAUAGUCUCUUCCAGCAAGGUGACCCAGUUCAGGGCCACCACACAAGUGUGCAGACUGCACAACAGUACCUAACCUCAGAAAUAAGUGGUGACUGGGAUCCAUCCCACUCUGCUUGCCAUUUGAUCUCCAUGCAUAAGGAGGGAAUUUUUCUCAUUCAUCUCUCUGAAGAAGAAUCUUUUUUAAAAAAACUUCACACUAAGGCUGGGCUGCUCUGACCCAGAUUGUGUGGGAAUCUGAGAUACAUCCACAUAGAACAGGACUAGAAAAUCAAAGCUCUCCUGCCUGAUGCUGACACAGCGAUUCCCUUUGUCCCGAAUCUUGGAAAGAGAUGGAAAGCUAGUUCAAGCCGCUGGACAAGAGGUGAACUGUUUUUGAUCUGACUAGAAAUGGAGGCAUUACGGGGUGUUCCGGCCAGUACCUGUGUUAAUUGACACUUCUCCCUGUUAUGCAAUCAAAGUGGUGAGCCACCUGAGGGCAGAAACAAUGGCAGCUCCAGAACUUCUAAGAGGAGGAGCAAGGGGCAGAGAUGUUAUUGGAAAAGGAGCAGUUGGAGGCUCUACCCAGGGGACUUGAUCUAAAACAAUCGUUACACAAUACCCAAGCAGCCAUUCGAAGCUUUGAGAUGAGUUGUUCUGAAGACUACAUUAAAUUCUUAGUUGUGUCUGCCUGAGACUCUCCAGAACCAAAACACAGGAGGACCUGAGCGAGCAGAGCAAAGCCACAGGCAAAUGACUCACUGGAAACCUUGAAUGUUUGCUAAGUAAGGUCUUCUGCAGCAUCUCACAUCAAAGAGCCCAGGCUCCUCCGCCCGCUGCCAGCCCGACUUAGCUUGGAGAACACUUAAGGCAUGUUGCUUCUGAUGUCUGCUAUUGGGAGACUCAUAAACCAGGUCUGGGGAGAUACUGUUUGGUGGUAGUGUUGUUUGCUUUUCACUUUUUAAGUUUUAUGUGUGUGUUUUUUGUCCGUUUGUUUAAUGAUUAUAAAAAUAAGUGCUCAAUAUUAAACAUUUGGAAAAUA
This is a long non-coding RNA of Camelus dromedarius (Arabian camel), 1082 nucleotides long. RefSeq lists it as uncharacterized. The record is from RefSeq and is a predicted model, not a curated record. The transcript is spliced from 5 exons. NCBI's taxonomy places the organism in Eukaryota, Metazoa, Chordata, Mammalia, Artiodactyla, Camelidae.